Molecule: non-coding RNA, 2143 nt
Organism: Kogia breviceps (pygmy sperm whale)
Lineage: Eukaryota; Metazoa; Chordata; Mammalia; Artiodactyla; Physeteridae
Source: RefSeq, a predicted model, not a curated record
GACUAUCAUUUCUUCAUAUUUAAAUUCAAACCCAGUAAACAUGUUAACCUGAAAUUAAAUAGGUAUCAAAUGAGAUUGGAAAUGAAUAUGUUUUAAAUGUAUAUAGUUAAGCAGACACUGAACUUACGGCUCAACUGAAUAGUAAGAGGUGUGUUAUGGAGCAGCGCUUCUCAACCUGAGAUCCCUGGGGGUGCAUUUCAUCCAAAAACACCAUAUUUUACUCAAAGUAUCUGUCAGAAGUACCUGUCUGCAAAGAAGACAUGGAUUUCCUCUGAGGACAGAUUUGGAAGAUAUUGGAGAAGGAAGUCCUCAAAAGGAUGAUACAGUGAUAAAGAGAAAAGGAGAGUUUCAAACAGCCAUCAUUUAAAAAAAAAAAAACAAAAACAAAAGAAAGAAAAGAAAGAGGUGAUGGUGGUUGUAUGUUGUUUAAAAAGAAAGCUUCGAAGAGAAACAGCUGCUUUGAUGAUUGAUAAGAUUUCCCAGGAAGAAGUCAGACUGAAGUCAUGAUGUGCCCUUAACUACAGUGGAAGACUCUGAAGGAUUCCACAAAGCCUGUUGAAGCACUUACCUCUUGACUUGAGGAGAAGGCAGAAGCACCCUUCUUGCCUAACUCAGUCAUGUGGGUACACCUAUGCAUGGGAGGCUGGGAAAUGAAGUUUAGCUACACACCUAUGAGGAAGAGAAAAUAGGCUUGAAUCUCCGCUCCUUGAGUUGGCAUCCAAGUACCUUAAUGGAAUAGCAGUUCUCAAGCAUGGUGCCUCCAGACCACAAAUCUAGGCAGAUGAAGCUGGUGCGUGAGUUCGAGUGUCACGUGGAGAGCUGCUUGGCCUCCCCACAGAGGGACCUGUCCUCAACGUCUCUGCCUGAAGUCAGCCUUCCAGGAAGGAACAUGGACCAUUCUUAGAAGACAGACUUCUCCAGUUUUGAACCAGAGUCCCUCUUUGCAACAGAACUGUUACAUCAUGACUUAAACUACCCCUUUCUGUUUAGGCACAUCCAGAGUUUAUAUUUCCAUAGAAUAAUUUUUGAGACCAAAUUACCUGAAUUCAGAAAACCUCUGAAUAAUGAAAUAGCUAUAAUUUAUAUGCCAGACACUGCACUGGCUUCUCUGUGUAUCAUCUCAUGUACUCCUCACAACUGUAUGAAGGAGGUACUGCUGUCAUCUGUUUGGUGGAUGACACAAUUGAUUCUCAGAGCCCUUAGGAAAUGGACUUGAUGUCACAUGCUCAUAGUAGGUCUGGCUCUGUCAUCUCUACUUUUAUCCACUGCACUGUAAGGCCCCCUCUUUCUAAAAAAAAAAAAAAUAGACUAUUCAAACAUUUUACCUUCAUUUUUUCAAAGGAUUUAAGUUGUAGGAAGGAGAUUCAUUGAGUUGUAUGAAGGUACAAAUCUAAAUGUUGUACCCUUUGUACAGUUCCCAAGAGAGCAGAUGCUGGGCCACGAGUCAGCCUAGCUAGAAAAGGAUUCUCUGUGUGACAGGAAUACACUAUGAGCUGGACCACUCACAUGAUAUUUUGCAGAACCUUCUGUAUAUUUUUUGAUCUAAGUUUGGUUCUGAGCACAGAAAUCUCUGUGAGAAAUCCCAUGAGAAGAUUCCACUAAGGCAACGACAAAGACUCGUGUUCCGAUGGACUUUUUAUGUAAAUGGAGAAAAAAAAUUAGCUGGAAGCACACACCUGAAAAUUCAUAAGAGGCUCUCUCUCAGUAAUUAUGCAAUAUUCAUGGAAAUAGACUCUAGGCAUUAUGCUAAAAGUCAGACUUUGUCUCCAUUUUUUCUCUUUCAAAAAAGCAGACAACCAGAAGGGAGAAAUGGUGUUCACAACCACACCACAGGCACGACGACGGGAGGUGGCAUUUCACAGUCACUCCUAAUGGUCAAUAUCUGAGAAUUAAACCUCCCAGACAACCGGGGAAGCUUCGCCUGCUGGGAAUAUUCAUGCCCCUCUGGGUGACUAAUUCAUUACUUCGGGAGACAGAGAACUCGAAGGGUGCCGGAUACUUUUUUCUGUGGCUUACACUUAUGUCCCCAAAAGAAAAAUAUGUUUUGCUUUUGCACUUCCUCAGGUUACCAUGACUCCCCGGCUACUAGUAUAAAUAGAAAUAAACUAUUCAGAAGCAUCUAUUACAAAUGAUAAUAUUCUAG